UACGUAGGGUGCGAGCGUUACUCGGAAUUACUGGGCGUAAAGCGUGCGCAGGCGGUCUGUUAAGACCGAUGUGAAAUCCCCGGGCUUAACCUGGGAACUGCGUUGGUGACUGGCAGGCUUUGAGUGUGGCAGAGGGAGGUAGAAUUCCACGUGUAGCAGUGAAAUGCGUAGAGAUGUGGAGGAACACCGAUGGCGAAGGCAGCCCCCUGGGCUGAGAUUGACGCUCAGGCACGAAAGCGUGGGGAGCAAACAGG
RNAcentral lists this ribosomal RNA (254 nucleotides) under uncultured bacterium. RNAcentral describes it as "partial 16S ribosomal RNA". It matches the Rfam family "Bacterial small subunit ribosomal RNA", at positions 524 to 776 of the family's 1533-position model. The record is from RNAcentral.